CACAAAAUGGCGCCGGCGGGGCCGCCACAGAGCGGCGGGGGCAGCGUCCCUGUGAGGGGACGGGAGCAGCCCGGGUUUGGCGCCAAUUCCGCCCGGCUCCGAAGUGGGGAAAAUCCCUCAAUCCCCUCACAUCGCGCCUGAGAGCCUGAGGCACGGCUGGGAAAUCCCUCAAUCCCCUCACACCGCGCCGGAGAGCCUGAGGCACGGCUGGGAAAUCCCUCAAUCCCCUCACACCGCGCCAGAGAGCCUGAGGCACGGCUGGGGUUGGUCUUCCCCUCGUGUCACAGCUCUGGCAGCCAGGCGCUUCACCCCCGGCGGCCCAGGAGUACUCUCGGUUUCCAUCCAGUCAAUGCCAAAAUGUCAAAGCAGUGAAAACAGGCCAUAAUAUUGUUCUUCUUGCAUCAAGUCACCUCAAAACAAAAAAAAGGUCAUAUUUAAGAAACUCAGACUUAAGGAGAUGUCAUCAGGGCCAUUCAAGCAUGUCCUGGGAAGAAGACACCACUUGGAAUUAAUGCAACUCUCUGAGAAGACAGCCCUUUUAAAAAAAACCCAAAAACAAGCCAAACCAACCUACAAAAAACAGCUGCUUUUCCAAAUGGAACAAGAUUUGCAGGGAAGAGUUGUAAGACUUUCUCAGAGCAGCUGAUACAAUUGUCAGACAGAACCAAGUCAGCCAUGGCAGUGGAUUUGGUGAGCUGAUAUCCCACCUUGAGCGCUUACACCAGCUGGAGUGCCAACAGCUGCCCCCAGGAAAAGGAGCUGCUGUCCCACUCCUGCAGCGGACUGAAGCCC
RNAcentral lists this long non-coding RNA (792 nucleotides) under Parus major (Great Tit). Its description in RNAcentral is "lncRNA (ENSPMJG00000005840.1)". The record is from RNAcentral. Lineage: Eukaryota; Metazoa; Chordata; Aves; Passeriformes; Paridae.